This 1032-nucleotide long non-coding RNA is filed under the name Vigna radiata. RNAcentral's name for it is "long non-coding RNA (VRAD_LNC012585)". Lineage: Eukaryota; Viridiplantae; Streptophyta; Magnoliopsida; Fabales; Fabaceae. The record is from RNAcentral.
CUGAUUUGAAUCUUAGGUUUCACGGCCUAAUGAUUUAAUUGCUUGGAGUUAGAGUGUAUUUUUCGUUAGCAUGCUGUUCAUGCACUGAUUCACUUCCGUUAAUGCAUUUUUUUUUACUAAGCUUUAGUUUAUUUUUAUUUUUGAAGCAUGUUGUUUGGAAUUGGAGAAAGGCUGCAGCAUUUUGUUUUCUUUAUAUAGUAUUUAAUUGAAUGAAGAAAGGCUUAUUCAUUUAGUGGUGCAGAGGCGGUGACUAAUUUGUCUUUUGGAAGUGACGGUGAUUUAUUUGGGAAAUGCAACGAGCUGCUGUUAUGUUUAAGGGAAGUGGUGCAUGGUGGAAUCUCUAGAUGGACUUUUGGAAGCUUAAUUUAAUUUCCUUCUUGGUUGGUGUUGUGCGGCGCUGAAAUUGGGAGAGCAAGGAUGCGUUACUUUGCUUGGAAGCUCACGGCCAACACUUUGGCAUUGGAUUAAUUUGGUUAUUUCAGCUCAUGGUCACAUAUUUUCAGGUAGCUAGCACCAUUUAUUCUAGUUCUUGGUAUUAGAUGUGUUUUUCUUACCUUUAUGGCUUAGGAAAAAUCUCUACUUUAAUUUGGUUAAGCACACAGUUUUAUUUUUACUUUCAUUUACUUUCAGUGUUCAAUUACGUUUGGUUGCGUUUAAAUUUCAGUUUUAAUUUAAUUUAAUUUUCCUCGCAAGAACACUUUCAACCCCCCCUUGUGUUAGACCUAAUUCCUGAACCAUGGUUUGGUCCUUGAGAGACGACUUAGGAGUCAUUUCCUAGCUAUACUGCAUUUCUAAAUUGCAAUCAAAUUUGCAUGGGUCGCGUCAACCCAUCAAUUGGCUUUGAAAAACUAUGGAUGAAUGGUGUUGUUGGGGUUUACAAUUUCAUCUUAUCCACUCUCAUAUAUUUACUUUUCUUAUUUACUUCACUUAUUUAUCUAAUUGCCUUGCAAACUUUCUAGCAUACCCUUAACCCAAUCCCUUGGUGAAAAGAGCCUAUUAUUAAUUACUGGAUUGCUAUCCCUAGCCUCCCCU